Heterocephalus glaber (naked mole-rat) is the source of this 832-nucleotide long non-coding RNA. The record is from Ensembl. NCBI's taxonomy places the organism in Eukaryota, Metazoa, Chordata, Mammalia, Rodentia, Bathyergidae.
GGACAGGGCACCCAGAGCGGAGAUCACACACAGGCCACUCCUUUCAGGGAAAGCAGCUCAUCCUGCUGCACAUGGCUCAGACACAGAAUCCCAGGAAUUGAGAGAAACUGAGGGAGUGGAUCUGUCCUCUAGAACUUCCUCACUUCUGAGCGUGUGGCCACCAGGGUUCGGAGAGAGCGCGGGUGAGCAGCAGCCCCAGGGUCUGAAAAGAAGGGCAGCCCCUGUGGAAGGUUCUAGAAGUGGUGAUGGAUGAUUCCCGCGGGAAUGUUCGAGAACUGAUCCUCUUUUGUUGCCAGUUCAGCGAGUCCAGGUGGUUGAGUAUCAGAGUGUUCCAUCUCGUUUCCCUUUGGGGGUCUCGCUGUAUAGCUCAGGCUGUCCUCGACCUCACUGUGCAGGCCAGGCUUGUAUGGAAUUCAGGGCGAUCUUCCUGCCUCAGUCUCCCUAGUGCUGGAAUUAUAGGCCUUCAUUUCCAUAAGCUACUCAUUUACAAGAACUGUACUUCUAACUUCACAUUCGUGCUUGAAUCUGAACAGCCUUUGGAAAGUGCAAGACUUGAACUACCCUUGAAGUCUACAGGUUUCUAUUUCACUCAUUGCUAUAAUUGCGAGUAUUGCAAUGACGGAGGACUUGACGAUGUAGAAAUAGACUUGAGACAUCCUGUAAUUGAAGAGAAGCUACAAGAUGGGACUGUAUGUUUUAUGGUGCCAGAGCUUUGCCUCUGUAAUAGCCAGCAAUACACUGCAUGAGAACCACUUUUUGUGGGAGUCUGUUGGUCUUCCCCUUUUCCUCAGUUCAGUUUUGUUUCCUCUUGUCCCCUUGAGACAUCACUGAG